Long non-coding RNA from Lytechinus pictus (painted urchin), 852 nucleotides. RefSeq lists it as uncharacterized. The transcript is spliced from 4 exons. The record is from RefSeq and is a predicted model, not a curated record. NCBI's taxonomy places the organism in Eukaryota, Metazoa, Echinodermata, Echinoidea, Temnopleuroida, Toxopneustidae.
GCCCGUGAAGCUGUACGGAGCGUAAAGGUGGCCCAGAGACAGAUGGAAAAAAGAUGAAGAACAAUUGACAGCGAUUCCCUACGAAGGCACUUGAAGACAGAGCAGACAUCAAAUCAGCAGCAAUGGACAAUGACGAUGGUGUGAGAGAGCAAGACAAGAUCUGGGGCCUGUUUCAUAAAAGACUUUCAACUGUUGCAACUUUGCCAUUAUUGUAACUACCAUGGUAACAUGGCUCAACAGCCAAUCAAAAUCGAGGUCUCAGUUACAAUAGUGGCAUGGUUACCAUAAUUGUAAUUCUUUAUGAAACGGGACCCAUGGAGGAACGCCAUCAUGACAGACAGAGGGAGAGGAUCUUUGCCAGUACAGCUCCUUCUGAUAAACGAUCUUGGAGAAACAGAGAGAACGGGAUGUGAGUGAGAAGAUUCCCCUUGGUCUUCCUAAUGCUGGAGGAGGCAGAUCAGAUGUUGCACAGUUUGAUCAGAGGUUAUUCAAUCCGUCAAAGACAAUGAAGACAAUUUGAGAGAGCAAGACACGAUCAGGGAGGAACGCCAUCAUGACAGACAGAGGGAGAGGAACUUUGCCCGUAAAGGAUGUUAGUGAGAAGAUUGCCCUUGGACUGGAGGAGGCAGAUCAGAUGAUACACAGUUUGAUCAGAGGUUAUUCAAUCCGUCAAAGCAAGCACAGAGUGCUAUCCAUGAGAGCAAAGCCCUGAAAUCAAGGGUUCAUCUGGUAGACAUGGCCCAAGAGGAAGGACCCUGAUUACGAGCAGGUCAUUGCGAUGCUGGUGGAUUAACUAACAGAUUUGGCUCAAAAGUCAAGAAAAUGCCUGGAAAUAUGCCACCAGAAGUAGUG